This 861-nucleotide ribosomal RNA is filed under the name uncultured archaeon. RNAcentral's name for it is "bacterial SSU rRNA". It matches the Rfam family "Archaeal small subunit ribosomal RNA", at positions 474 to 1337 of the family's 1478-position model. The record is from RNAcentral.
CACCCGCAGCUCGAGUGGUGGUCACUUUUAUUGAGCCUAAAGCGUUUGUAGCCGGUUUUGCAAAUCUUCAGAUAAAUUCCUCUGCUUAACAGAUGAUCUUCUGAAGAGACUGCGAGACUUGGGACCGGGUGAGGUUGAAGGUACUUCCGGGGUAGGGGUAAAAUCCUGUAAUCCUGGAAGGACGACCGGUGGCGAAGGCGUUCAACUAGAACGGAUCCGACGGUGAGGAACGGGGGCUAGGGUAGCAAACCGGAUUAGAUACCCGGGUAGUCCUAGCUGUAAACACUGCCCACUUGGUGUUGCCCCUCCGAUGAGGGGAGGCAGUGCCGGAGCGAAGGUGUUAAGUGGGCCGCUUGGGGAGUAUGGUCGCAAGGCUGAAACUUAAAGGAAUUGGCGGGGGAGCACCGCAACGGGAGGAGCGUGCGGUUUAAUUGGAUUCAACGCCGGAAAACUCACCGGGAGCGACCUUUGGAUGAGAGUCAGCCUGAUGAGCUUACUCGAUAGAAGGAGAGGUGGUGCAUGGCCGUCGUCAGCUCGUACCGUAGGGCGUUCACUUAAGUGUGAUAACGAGCGAGACCCCCAUCUCUAAUUGCUAACGUGCAUUCGCGUGUACGCGCACUUUAGAGGGACCGCCAGUGCUAAACUGGAGGAAGGAGGGGUCGACGGCAGGUCAGUACGCCCCGAAUCUCCCGGGCAACACGCGCGCUACAAAGGGCAGGACAAUGAGUUGCCACCUCGAAAGGGGGAGCUAAUCUCGAAACCUGUUCGUAGUUAGGAUUGAGGGCUGUAACUCGCCCUCAUGAAUGUGGAUUCCGUAGUAAUCGCGGGUCAACAGCCCGCGGUGAAUAUGCCCCUGCUCCU